AAAGUCGCACAGUCGCCUCUUUCUUCUGUUCUUCUCUUUCUUUUCUUUCUUUUCUUUCUUCUUCUUCUUCC
RNAcentral lists this non-coding RNA (71 nucleotides) under Stygamoeba regulata. Lineage: Eukaryota; Discosea; Stygamoebida. The record is from RNAcentral.